RNAcentral lists this ribosomal RNA (1267 nucleotides) under metagenome. RNAcentral's name for it is "SSU rRNA". It matches the Rfam family "Eukaryotic small subunit ribosomal RNA", at positions 492 to 1774 of the family's 1831-position model. The record is from RNAcentral.
AUUAUAAUGUCUGACAAUCGGAAUGAGAAUAAUUUAAAUCCCUUAUUGAGGAUCCAUUGGAGGGUAAGUCUGGUGCCAGCAGUUGUGGUAAUACCAGCUCCAAUAGCGUAUAUUAAAGUUGUUGCGGUUAAAAAGCUCGUAGUUGGAUUUCUGGCUUGGGAUGCCUGGCCCGCUCCAGAUGGAGUGUGUGCUGGAUGCAUUUUGAGUCAUCCUUCUGGAACGCAUUCUUGUCGUUUGUUCGUCGAGGGUGAAUACCAGAUCUUUUAUUUUGAAGAAAUUAGAGUGUUCAAAGCAGGUUUUUUGCUCUGAAUACAUUAGCAUGGAAUAAUAACACAGGACUCUAGUUCUAUUUUGUUGGUUUUUAGGACGUGAGUAAUGAUUGAUAGGGAUAGUUGGGGAUGCUCGUAUUCAAUGGCCAGAGGUGAAAUUCGCGGAUUCAUUGAAGACGAACUUAUGUGAAAGCAUUCAUCAAGGAUGUCUUCUUUAAUCAAGAACGAAAGUUGGGGGAUUGAAGACGAUUAGAUACCGUCGUAGUCUCAACCAUAAACUAUGCCAACUAGGGAUUGGCAGACGUUGUUUAUUGACUCUGUCAGCACCUUAUGAGAAAUCAAAGUCUUUGGGUUCCGGGGGGAGUAUGGUCAUAAGGCUGAAACUUAAAGGAAUUAACGGAAGGGCACCACCAGGGGUGGAGCCUGCGGCUUAAUUUGACCCAAUAUGGGAAAACUCACCGGGUCCGGAUAUGGCGAGGAUUGACAGAUUGAAGAUCUUUCUUGAUUCUAUGGGUGGUGGUGCAUGGCCGUUCUUAGUUGGUGGAGUGAUUUGUUUGGUUUAUUCCGUUAACGAACGAGACCUCAGCCUGCUAAAUAGUGGCACUAAUCCUUUUGGAUUGGGAGCAACUUCUUAGAGGGACUAUGUGUUUUUAGCACAUGGAAGUUUGAGGCAAUAACAGGUCUGUGAUGCCCUUAGAUGUCUCGGGCUGCACGCGCGCUACACUGUUGCAUUCAGCGAGUUUAUAAUCCUUGACCGGAAGGUCCGGGUAAUCUUUGAAAUUGCAACGUGAUGGGGCUAGAUUGUUGUAAUUAUUAAUCUUUAACGAGGAAUCCCUAGUAAACGCAUGUUAUUAACGUGCAUUGAUUACGUCCCUGCCCUUUGUAUAUACUGCCCGUCGCUCCUACCGAUUGAAUGAUCCGGUGAAACCUCAGGAUUGGCACUAAUGCAAUGGUUUUCAUUGCUUGGAGCUUAAGAAUUUGGUUAAACCUUAUCAUUU